RNAcentral lists this ribosomal RNA (484 nucleotides) under uncultured bacterium. Its description in RNAcentral is "bacterial SSU rRNA". It matches the Rfam family "Bacterial small subunit ribosomal RNA", at positions 43 to 497 of the family's 1533-position model. The record is from RNAcentral.
CAGGCCUAAUCACAUGCAAGUCGAGCGGGGAAAGGCAGCUUGCUACAUUUCCUAGCGGCGGACGGGUGAGUAAUGCUUAGGAAUCUGCCUAUUAGUGGGGGACAACAUUCCGAAAGGAAUGCUAAUACCGCAUACGCCCUACGGGGGAAAGCUGGGGAACCUUCGGACCUUGCCCUAAUUAGAUGAGCCUAAAGUCCAGAUUAAGCUAGUUGGUGGGGUAAAAGGCCUACCAAGGCGACGAUCUGUAGCGGGUCUGAAUAGGAUGAUCCGCCACACUUGGGGACUGAGACACGGCCCAAUACUCCCUACGGGAGGGCAGCAGUGCGGGAAUAAUUGGACCAAUGGGCGAAAAGUCUUGAUUCCACCCAUGCCCUCGCGUGUGGAAGAAAGGCCUUUUCGGUUGCAACACCCUUUUAAUCCGAGGAGCAGGCUUCCGGAAAUUAAAACUCUAUGAAAGCGGACGUUACCCCAAAUAAGCACCGGC